Long non-coding RNA from Dreissena polymorpha, 462 nucleotides. RefSeq lists it as uncharacterized. The transcript is spliced from 3 exons. The record is from RefSeq and is a predicted model, not a curated record. Lineage: Eukaryota; Metazoa; Mollusca; Bivalvia; Myida; Dreissenidae.
UAAACAUUUUGCAAUAACUUUUGCUAUAUUGAAGAUAGCAACUUCAUAUUUGGCAUGCUUGUGUAUCUCAUGAAGCUGCACAUUUUGAGUGGUGAAAGGUCAAGGUCAUCCUUUAAGGUCAGAGGUCAAAUAUAUGUGGCCAAAAUCGCUCAUUUUAUGAAUACUUUUGCAUUAUUGAAGAUAGCAACUUGAUAUUUGGCAUGCAUGUGUAUCUCAUGGAGCUGCACAUUUUGAGUGGUGAAAGGUCAAGGUCAUCCUUCAAGGUCAGAGGUCAAAUAUAUGUGGCCCAAAUCGCUUAUUUUAUGAAUACUUUUGCAAUAUUGAAGAUAGCAACUUGAUAUUUGGCAUGCAUGUGUAUCUCAUGGAGCUUCACAUUUUGAGUGGUGAAAGGUCAAGGUCAUCCUUCAAGGUCAAACGUCAUAUAGGGGGACAUUGUGUUUCACAAACACAUCUUGUUUUUAA